Long non-coding RNA from Papaver somniferum (opium poppy), 594 nucleotides. RefSeq lists it as uncharacterized. The transcript has 3 exons. The record is from RefSeq and is a predicted model, not a curated record. NCBI's taxonomy places the organism in Eukaryota, Viridiplantae, Streptophyta, Magnoliopsida, Ranunculales, Papaveraceae.
UGUUGUUAGAACAAUAUCGGUGGUUCAACUAGACCAAGCAUUAGAAUAUGCAAGCUAAUGAGGAUAAAGAAUGGUUGUGAGUCGAAAUUCAGAAAUAAAGUUAAAUGGAAAAGGUUUCACUAUGCACCCCACGAUACAAAGGCAGAUUAUUUUGCAGAUAAACCCAAUGCGUUAAACGAGGGGGAGUUGAAGGAUCUUGUGAAAUUUUGGGUUAGUGAAGAGCAUCAGGUACUUUCCGAUGGCAAUGUCAAAGAGUAGAAACCGUUUUGUUUUUGUAAGGUAUUUUCCGAUGGCAAUGUCAAAGAGUAGAAGCCUCACACAGUGUGCAGCAAAAACUAUUCGACGCAAAGAUGAAGUGGAUACACAAGUUGGUGGUUACAGUCACCUUUCUCUUUGCAAUUUUAAAGUAUAUUUCUCAUAUUUGGAUUCGACUAUUCAUGGUUGAGGUACAUUUCUCAUAUGUGUCUAUGUACAAGUACAACUAGUAGAUAGGAGUUAGUUAGGUCUAAAUUGAAGUAUAAAGUUUCUCUACUUUUAAGGUCAACUUUAAAGUCGGAGAUUCUGUAAGUUAAUUUGUUUCUUUUCUUAUGGUGA